GAGUUUGAUCAUGGCUCAGGACGAACGCUGGCGGCGUGCCUAAUACAUGCAAGUAGAACGCUGAAGAGAGGAGCUUGCUCUUCUUGGAUGAGUUGCGAACGGGUGAGUAACGCGUAGGUAACCUGCCUUGUAGCGGGGGAUAACUAUUGGAAACGAUAGCUAAUACCGCAUAACAAUAGGUGACACAUGUCAUUUAUUUGAAAGGGGCAAUUGCUCCACUACAAGAUGGACCUGCGUUGUAUUAGCUAGUAGGUGAGGUAACGGCUCACCUAGGCGACGAUACAUAGCCGACCUGAGAGGGUGAUCGGCCAUACUGGGACUGAGACACGGCCCAGACUCCUACGGGAGGCAGCAGUAGGGAAUCUUCGGCAAUGGGGGCAACCCUGACCGAGCAACGCCGCGUGAGUGAAGAAGGUUUUCGGAUCGUAAAGCUCUGUUGUAAGUCAAGAACGAGUGUGAGAGUGGAAAGUUCACACUGUGACGGUAGCUUACCAGAAAGGGACGGCUAACUACGUGCCAGCAGCCGCGGUAAUACGUAGGUCCCGAGCGUUGUCCGGAUUUAUUGGGCGUAAAGCGAGCGCAGGCGGUUUGAUAAGUCUGAAGUUAAAGGCUGUGGCUCAACCAUAGUUCGCUUUGGAAACUGUCAAACUUGAGUACAGAAGGGGAGAGUGGAAUUCCAUGUGUAGCGGUGAAAUGUGUAGAUAUAUGGAGGAACACCGGUGGCGAAAGCGGCUCUCUGGUCUGUAACUGACGCUGAGGCUCGAAAGCGUGGGGAGCGAACAGGAUUAGAUACCCUGGUAGUCCACGCCGUAAACGAUGAGUGCUAGGUGUUGGAUCCUUUCCGGGAUUCAGUGCCGCAGCUAACGCAUUAAGCACUCCGCCUGGGGAGUACGACCGCAAGGUUGAAACUCAAAGGAAUUGACGGGGGCCCGCACAAGCGGUGGAGCAUGUGGUUUAAUUCGAAGCAACGCGAAGAACCUUACCAGGUCUUGACAUCCCGAUGCUAUUUCUAGAGAUAGAAAGUUACUUCGGUACAUCGGUGACAGGUGGUGCAUGGUUGUCGUCAGCUCGUGUCGUGAGAUGUUGGGUUAAGUCCCGCAACGAGCGCAACCCCUAUUGUUAGUUGCCAUCAUUCAGUUGGGCACUCUAGCGAGACUGCCGGUAAUAAACCGGAGGAAGGUGGGGAUGACGUCAAAUCAUCAUGCCCCUUAUGACCUGGGCUACACACGUGCUACAAUGGUUGGUACAACGAGUUGCGAGUCGGUGACGGCAAGCUAAUCUCUUAAAGCCAAUCUCAGUUCGGAUUGUAGGCUGCAACUCGCCUACAUGAAGUCGGAAUCGCUAGUAAUCGCGGAUCAGCACGCCGCGGUGAAUACGUUCCCGGGCCUUGUACACACCGCCCGUC
This 1405-nucleotide ribosomal RNA is filed under the name uncultured bacterium. Its description in RNAcentral is "bacterial SSU rRNA". It matches the Rfam family "Bacterial small subunit ribosomal RNA". The record is from RNAcentral.